CCUACGGGCGGCAGCAGUGAGGAAUAUUGGUCAAUGGACGAGAGUCUGAACCAGCCAAGUAGCGUGAAGGAUGACUGCCCUAUGGGUUGUAAACUUCUUUUAUAUGGGAAUAAAAUGUUCCACGUGUGGGAUUUUGUAUGUACCAUAUGAAUAAGGAUCGGCUAACUCCGUGCCAGCAGCCGCGGUAAUACGGAGGAUCCGAGCGUUAUCCGGAUUUAUUGGGUUUAAAGGGAGCGUAGGGGGAUUGUUAAGUCAGUUGUGAAAGUUUGCGGCUCAACCGUAAAAUUGCAGUUGAAACUGGCAGUCUUGAGUACAGUAGAGGUGGGCGGAAUGCGUGGUGUAGCGGUGAAAUGCUUAGAUAUCACGAAGAACUCCGAUUGCGAAGGCAGUUCACUGGACUGCAACUGACACUGAGGCUCGAAAGUGUGGAUAUCAAACAGGAUUAGAUACCCUAGUAGUC
RNAcentral lists this ribosomal RNA (460 nucleotides) under uncultured bacterium. RNAcentral describes it as "partial 16S ribosomal RNA". It matches the Rfam family "Bacterial small subunit ribosomal RNA", at positions 338 to 795 of the family's 1533-position model. The record is from RNAcentral.